Molecule: ribosomal RNA, 459 nt
Filed under: uncultured bacterium
Lineage: Bacteria
Description: partial 16S ribosomal RNA
Rfam family: Bacterial small subunit ribosomal RNA
Source: RNAcentral
CCUACGGGAUGCAGCAGUGAGGAAUAUUGGUCAAUGGGCGCGAGCCUGAACCAGCCAAGUCGCGUGAGGGACGACUGUCCUAUGGAUUGUAAACCUCUUUUGUCGGGGAACAAAGGCGCCCACGGGUGGGCGGAUGAGUGUACCCUAUGAAAAAGAAUCGGCUAACUCCGUGCCAGCAGCCGCGGUAAUACGGAGGAUGCGUGCGUUAUCCGGAUUUAUUGGGUUAAAAGGGUGCGUAGGCGGACGGUAACGUUAGCGGUAAAAAUGCGGUGCGCAACUCCGUAGAGCCGUUGAAAAUGGCAGUCUUGAGUGGGCGAGAAGCAUGCGGAAUGCGUGGUGUAGCGGUGAAAUGCAUAGAUAUCACGCAGAACCCCGAUUGCGAAGGCAGCAUACCGGGGCCCUACUGACGCUGAGGCAUGAAAGCGUGGGUAGCGAACAGGAUUAGAGACCCUGGUAGUC